This 148-nucleotide unclassified non-coding RNA is filed under the name soil metagenome. Its description in RNAcentral is "partial internal transcribed spacer 1". The record is from RNAcentral.
CCGAGUUUACAACUCCCAAACCCCUGUGAACAUACCUAUAUGUUGCCUCGGCGGAUCAGCCCCGCGCCCCGUAAAACGGGACGGCCCGCCGCAGGAUCCACAAACUCUGUUUUUAUUGUAACUUCUGAGUAACAAAACAAAUAAAUCA